Molecule: unclassified non-coding RNA, 244 nt
Filed under: Moritella viscosa
Lineage: Bacteria; Pseudomonadati; Pseudomonadota; Gammaproteobacteria; Alteromonadales; Moritellaceae
Description: putative sRNA
Source: RNAcentral
AUACUAAUGGUUUAAAAGUUAGAUCGUUUAUUCUAUCCAUAUCAAUAUUUUCCUGUGAUAUCGGUCACUCUUCCACAGAUAUAAUGGUCGGAACUACAAUUUAAAAAUCGUCUAAGUUGAAAUAUUGUUUUUAUAUAAUUUGUUCGUUUGAAACUUAAUGUUUAUUUUACUCCUUAUUUUAACGUUAUCACCCAUUUUUUUUACAUUUACUUGUUGAUUUAUGGCAGUUUUACUUACUUCAAGC